RNAcentral lists this ribosomal RNA (336 nucleotides) under Streptococcus mitis. RNAcentral describes it as "bacterial SSU rRNA". It matches the Rfam family "Bacterial small subunit ribosomal RNA", at positions 109 to 440 of the family's 1533-position model. Lineage: Bacteria; Bacillati; Bacillota; Bacilli; Lactobacillales; Streptococcaceae. The record is from RNAcentral.
AGUAACGCGUAGGUAACCUGCCUGGUAGCGGGGGAUAACUAUUGGAAACGAUAGCUAAUACCGCAUAAGAGUAGAUGUUGCAUGACAUUUGCUUAAAAGGUGCAAUUGCAUCACUACCAGAUGGACCUGCGUUGUAUUAGCUAGUUGGUGGGGUAACGGCUCACCAAGGCGACGAUACAUAGCCGACCUGAGAGGGUGAUCGGCCACACUGGGACUGAGACACGGCCCAGACUCCUACGGGAGGCAGCAGUAGGGAAUCUUCGGCAAUGGACGGAAGUCUGACCGAGCAACGCCGCGUGAGUGAAGAAGGUUUUCGGAUCGUAAAGCUCUGUUGUA